Molecule: non-coding RNA, 46 nt
Organism: Bos taurus (domestic cattle)
Lineage: Eukaryota; Metazoa; Chordata; Mammalia; Artiodactyla; Bovidae
Source: Rfam
UCAAAGGCUCUUUUCAGAGCCACCCACUUUAUCGAAGAAGGACUGU